Erinaceus europaeus (western European hedgehog) is the source of this 1917-nucleotide long non-coding RNA. RefSeq lists it as uncharacterized. The record is from RefSeq and is a predicted model, not a curated record. Lineage: Eukaryota; Metazoa; Chordata; Mammalia; Eulipotyphla; Erinaceidae. The transcript has 3 exons.
CAGAGUCUUAGAAUGAGCAUUCCACAGCCAGCCGGCUCCUCAGCAUGGCUUUCUCACUGGCAUUCUAGAAGCAGCACGCAGGGGCAGGCAACUACUAGGCAGCACAGCAAGCCUUCAUCACUGCUGACAUGAAACGUCAGAGUUGGGCUACAUCUGGAACCUUAACUUCAUUUGGUUGAGCACCAUGUACCAGACUCUGUGUUCUGUGCUAAAUAACAUCUCAUGUCAUCAACAAUUAUGAAGAAACGAACAUUACAUUGUCUUACCUCUGUGGAAGCUAAAGCUCUGGAAAAAUAUGUCUACUGCCACGGAACUGGAGUGCUAUAGUUGCAUAACAGACUGAAUCUCCUGAUGUCAACUAUGCUUCCAUAAUUUGCCACAGAAACUUAUUAUUUAAAGUGGGGUUUGGAUGGUCACCCUUUUUAUAAUUAUGUUCUUCUACUCUUGGAGGAGAAAAAACACGUUAAGGGCCUAUCAAAAGGAACAGGGCAGUAAGUGAACAAAAACAGCUUGGAAACUCUAAGGUGAGGAUCUACUCUGACUAGAGUGAGGGUAAUUGGAGACUUGAGAUAGGAGAAGCUAUUCACCAGGGAGAAGGACCCUUUGGGGUUAACAAAAUCCCUUAAGCACAGACAUGGAAACAGGCAAGAACAAAGAAAAGAAAUUGCACAGGAAAACCCUUAGUUUAGUGUUCACAACACUGGUAUUAUUGGCAUUUUAGGAAAGAUACUUCUUUGUUCUAGGUGGCUGUCCUCUGCAUUGUAGGCUAUUUCUCAAGAUCCCUGGCCUUCACCUACUAGGUGCCAAUAGGGUCUACCACCUUGCCCCCUCAUUAGGAAAACUAAAAAACUAAAAAAAAUAAUAAAAAAGAAAGUUUCCAGACAUUGCCUGUUGAUAACCACUCCCUAAUAUGAAGAUGUUCCAGCAAGUGGGGGCUGGUAGGAUGUAGGAUUGGGAAGGAGUCAACAGUAGAGAGGAUACCAUGAACCUGACUGGAAGGGAACAGACGUAUGCUCUGAGUUCCUCUCACUAGCAUCCCUCAUGUAUGGUUUCUGAUGACAUUAAAGCAAAUGGAGUCAAAGCUGAUGCCACAAUGGCUCCCUCUGAAGAAUGCCCAACUGGAUCCUGACUGGAAGAUGAAUGUCUGCAGGAGGAGAGAAAGGCAGCUUGGAUCUAUGGAAAUCUGGAAAGGGAAAAACAUUAUUUUCUCUUCUUCUUUCAGUAAAUUGAGUCAAGAAAAGAAGACAAGAGAAAUGCUACAAGAGAGUCUGCAAUUCCCAGACGAGUUUCAGAAAACUUGAGGGGACCUGGACUGGGAGAAGUGUUGGUCUGUGAUGUGCCUUUGACUGCAGUGUCAUCCUUACCUUCACAGGUUGCCUCCCACUCCCACAGUUCUUACUUCUGGACUGCUGUUGUUUAGGAAAAGUGGGAAGGAACUGGGAUACUUAUGCCUGGUAGGCAUGAAGGAAAGAGAGAUAGGGAGUAAGAAUGAAGGAAUUUUUUUUAAGUUCAAAAGGGAGAGACUAACAGUUUAAAGGGGAUCCUAUUUCCCUGUUAAAGAGAAAAUAAAAACAGAAUUGGUCCUAGGGGUUUGAGUGGAUCAAAGAGGCAGAGGAAUGAACAUUUACAAAAUUCCCACUGAGUACCAAUUCUGGGCAAAGCACACUGCAUAAGACGUUACAUUCUAUGUUCACAGCAUCAUACAAUAAUUAUGAACAGUGUGAGCACUAUAAUCUUUUAUCGGAGAAAACUGAGGUACAUGGAGAGUCAUACACAAAUUUAAUGCAAUACCCAUCAAAGUUCCACUAAGCUUCUUUAAGAGAAUAGAACAAACACUACAAUCAUUUAUCUGGAACCUGAAAACACCUAGAAUUGCCAAAACCAUCUUGAGGAAAAGAAACAGAAAUGGAGGCAUCA